AGGGGUAUAGUUCAGUUGGUAGAACGUUGGUCUCCAAAACCAAAUGUCGAGAGUUCGAGUCUUUCUGCCCCUG
Molecule: transfer RNA, 73 nt
Filed under: Clostridia bacterium
Lineage: Bacteria; Bacillati; Bacillota; Clostridia
Description: tRNA-Trp
Rfam family: tRNA
About the family: Transfer RNA (tRNA) molecules are approximately 80 nucleotides in length. Their secondary structure includes four short double-helical elements and three loops (D, anti-codon, and T loops).
Source: RNAcentral